This 350-nucleotide unclassified non-coding RNA is filed under the name soil metagenome. RNAcentral's name for it is "partial contains 5.8S ribosomal RNA, internal transcribed spacer 2, and large subunit ribosomal RNA". The stretch from base 1 to 120 matches the Rfam family "5.8S ribosomal RNA", at positions 35 to 154 of the family's 154-position model. The record is from RNAcentral.
GAUGAAGAACGUAGCGAACUGCGAUAAGUAAUGUGAAUUGCAGAAUUCAGUGAAUCAUCGAGUCUUUGAACGCACAUUGCGCCCCCUGGCAUUCCGGGGGGCAUGCCUGUCCGAGCGUCAUUGCUGCCCUUCAAGCCCGGCUUGUGUGUUGGGUCGUCGUCCCCCCCGGGGGACGGGCCCGAAAGGCAGCGGCGGCACCGCGUCCGGUCCUCGAGCGUAUGGGGCUUUGUCACCCGCCCGAUUAGGGCCGGCCGGGCGCCAGCCGGCGUCUCCAACCUUCUAUUUUACCAGGUUGACCUCGGAUCAGGUAGGGAUACCCGCUGAACUUAAGCAUAUCAAUAAGCGGAGGA